Gambusia affinis (western mosquitofish) is the source of this 4554-nucleotide long non-coding RNA. RefSeq lists it as uncharacterized. The transcript has 2 exons. NCBI's taxonomy places the organism in Eukaryota, Metazoa, Chordata, Actinopteri, Cyprinodontiformes, Poeciliidae. The record is from RefSeq and is a predicted model, not a curated record.
AAGACCGAAAGUGACUCUUCAGAAUGAUGAAGAGCCCACCUGGCUCUCGUUUUGGCAACCAACUGGUGCCACUGGAGCACGAAGAGAAAACCGAGAAGGAACAACGGGGCGGGGUAGAGGAGUAGGGAACACGGGUGGAGGAGGACGGUGAGUAAAGGAGGGAGUAACGGUCGUCUCCAUGGUGAGACCGUGGUCGCCAUGGUUACCCACAGAGCCCGGGUCAGCGGCUCCAGGAAUGCGCACGCUGUUUGCACACAUGCAAACACGCGCACGCACACAGGUCAUUACUUGUGUUUGCGUGUGUGUAAGUGUGUGAUAAAAGAUGUGUGGUGUUGUCAGAGUCACAGAGGGAUGUGAAUGUCUACACUUCAGGAGGUAAGAAAAGAGGCGUGUGUGUGUGGGGUGUGUGUGUGUGAGAGUCAGAAUAAGACAGGGCUUUGUUUCAUCUCUUUGCCUCCUGUCGGGAAUACAUGUUUGCAUCUGAUGUGUGUUGCUGUUUGUAAGUUUUGUUUGCGUAGGUAUGCGGGCGUGUGUGUGUGUGUGUGUGUGUGUGUGUGUGUGUGUGUGUGUGUUCAAAGAGGGGGUGACGAGAUAACUGUGACUCAAGUGAUGCUGCCACGUGCGGACGCCCGGCUGUUCGUGUAUUUUUCAGGGCGUGUUUUAACUCAGAUAGAAGAAGAAAAGUUAACCAGCGUGUAUUGCUAUGCUGCCAUUUGCGCAGCCAAAGCUUCUUUCAGCACACCCGAGCACAAAAUCAGAAGUUCAUACAAGACAUUCGCUCUCAAUUUUCCCAGCUUCUUUCCACUGUGUAGGCAAUUCACAUGGUUACCAUGAAAUGUAGACACACAGCGACACAUCUCACCACAGCGCCCUAACGCACUUUGAUGUGCUUGGAUUCAUGUGACUGUCUCUUAUUAACGUCCCUCCCUGUCAAACCUUGAAAACUUAGCUCUGUAUAUCUGUUUUAAGACUAAAAACAAUUAAUAUUUUUUUCUAUAUUUCACCAGAGCAAACACAUGUAAAUAUGUAAAAAUCUAGUAAUUUCACUUUAUCAGCAUUCAGACUCUCUGGCUGCUAUGUCCUAAAACGCAAUGCUGUAAAGCUGUUGCAUCAAGCUAACCAUUAGCUGGUAUUUAUCCCAAAGUUAGCAUCUACUUUGGUAAUGACGUGCUUCAUAAUUUGUGAAGGUAUGAUGUUUUUUAUGAUGUAAAGCACUUUCAACUGCCUGGUUGCUGAAAUGUGCUGGUCAAAUAAACUUGAGGGAGGCUGGUAAUCAGGUUUACUCUUUAAACUCUGUAAAGAGUGAAAUAGUUUUCUCUUUAAAAACAAACCAUUUUCUCUGGAGGCAUGUCUUCUGUUUAUUUGGGCUGUCACAAACAAAGCACUUUGGUGAGUGCUGGUCCUUUUGAUUCUUUACUUGAUUAAUUAAACAAUCAAAACUUGUUUCUUCACAAGCUAUGUCAAAACAAUUGUUAAUAUAGUAAAUAUGAUACACUGCAAUGUAGCCUGUGGUAAUGAUUUAUGUGUGUGUAAUGCAGGUUUGGAGAGGUAAACACUCUCUACUGCCAGCAUGCAACGUGUGUAUAAAUUGCUUCUCUCCUUUCUAUCCCACAGCAACAGCAGUUUGUGUCAGAAAAGGACACUGUGAUAUUGAACUGAAGCAGCUUACCUGACCACAGUACCGUCCUAGCAAACCCAAACUAAAGCCCAUUUAAACCGUCUUGCUGUUUCAAGCAGAACACAGAAAACUCUGCUACGAACUUCCGUUAACGCCUUUAAAUCUGCAUGCGGAGCAAAGCUUAUUAAACUGCAUUGACCUGGUUUUCCUCCAUCCUCCUAAAUGAGACACCUCUUGCUGCUAAUGAGCAAGGUCUUAGCAAAGACGCUAACAUUUAUUACAGCCCAUGUGAUACUUGCUGUAAUCAACAGAGCCAACGAUUACAGCAAAAAACAAAACAAAACAAACAAAAAAACAAACAACAGAAGGACAUGUAAUAACUGCGAGAGGCUUCCACACAGCUGUCGGUGCCCGAUGGAGACCUUAAUGUCUGACCUCUUGCGGGAUGCAGUGUUUAAGUUGAAGGAGAAGGUCCUCUUAAUAAAUGAUCUCACUGUGUUCUGUCUGUACACUGAGAACUAAAAGAUUUCAUGACCUGGGGGCAAAACAGACCUAUUGAAAAGGCACCCGGAAAGGUCAUAAAUUCAUAGAUAUCAACAGUGGGAGAGCUGUAGCUUCCCCGCUUCCUGGACUGUCCGUAUGUAUUUCUGAGGUGUUUUGAAGGUCAGUGCAAAAAGCUCAGCAUGCCUGGCUGAUCCAUCCAGUGGACUACCAAUUCCCAAGCUGCUGCCCUUUGAAGCGGUCAGAAGAUUCAGGUAGGAUUUCCACCCCAGUAGAAGUGUUGCAUUGUCCGCUCCGUUUCAGCUUAUUUUCAGAUAUCAGGCGGUGUUCCAGCACCUAGAUGUCUUAAAGAUAACACUCCUGCUGUUCUUUGAAGCUUCUGCAGCAUCAUUUUUAAACAGUAGUAGAUUAGAAACACCCCACAGGUCCUGUGUUUCAUUUAGCUUCUGCAGACUGAUCACGAAUGCCUAGGCAAAUCUCUCAUUCAGAGCAUUCGGGGUAUUUAAUCAACCUCCCACCCCCAAAAUAAAAUUAAAAAAAAACCCACAAAAAAGUUACCAACCUUGGUAUAGUUGUUGUUUUCCUCACUUCUUUGAUUAGAUGUAAUUUCUUUUUAAACCUUAGCUUUUAUUUCACGUCCCUUUCUGUCUUGCUGGGAGCUACAUUUGCUAGUGACAUAAAUGCCACACUGUCUGGUCCCAGCAACACACAUCAAAAUGUUUAAAAGCAUACAUUUUCUGGACCCAUUUCCAACCCUGGUACGGGUUGCAGGGAGCAUUGGUGUGUAUCUCCAGUGGUCAGCGGGUGAGAUGGAGCCUGUGUCAUUACGAACAGGUCAACAAUACGUCACAGAAACACACCGGCUUGUCAUGUCGCCCUGUGGAAAUGUAAUUUUUUAUAUAAACCACUAAACUUUAUCUGAAUUAUUUAGCUGCUUGAUCAUGACAGAAGCUGUAUAUUCACACGCCAAAUGUCUGUGUGUUGCCUUGUUAUUGUGAAAUAUUUAUGUUGCUUUAUGCUCUCUUUUAUCUCCUAUAGGUGAGGCGUGUAACACCGAUUGCUCUCUCUCACACACAUAGAUUGUGCGACUUUACCUCUGGUCCUGAUAUGAAAGGGUCUUUAAAGAUAAGUCAUGGUUAAAAUAUAUUGAUGAAUGAUUUAACAAUAAAAUAUAAGCAAAUUAAAUCAGUUUUCUAUUUCAUUUUUUUUUUUUAAAGUAUCAUUUGAGGGGCGUUGAGCAAAACAAUAACAUUUUCUCAAGUACUGAAUGUUAUGAACAAAGUUACUGAUGAACUUGGACGCUUUUGUCUUUGGCCCAGCUCUGACACAUGGUCCUCCUUCUCUGAUUUAUGACCUUUGACCUCUCUGACAUCAUUUAUCAUCACACUAAAGCCCCCUGAACGUCCUUGGAAAGGACAUGAACGGACCUCCUGCUUCGCAUCUCUUUUCAACCUUUUCAAAUUUGAUCUGGGCUCUCAGUGGUGCAUCGGGGCCAGCCGGUGAAUACAGUAGCGCCCUCCACAUGACGAACUCUGAAAGCCUUUAAAAUGCACCAACAGAGACAUCAGCGGUCUUUCUGACAGCGCCUCGGUUGGUGUGCAAUGUCACUUGAGGCUCCUGCAAUUACAUUUUGGACAAGGAACUCCAAUCGUGCCUCAAGUGGCACCAUGAUGGCCCCUUCGCCAACUUUCCAGUGAUUGCGAGGUCACAUUGCUUGCCUCUAAUAACAUCACCACAUCAGCAGACGGAGGGAGGAGGGAAUGAGCCAUUAGGCUCCAGAAGCCAGCCAGUUCCCCACUGUCUGUCUGCAAGCUGAGAGCUGGCAGGCAUGCAAGCAGGAUAACAGGCUUCCUUUUCCAUCUACUGGAUGGCUGGACGUUACACUCCGACGGUGGAGGAUGCCAACAAAAUGAGCGUGGAAAAGCCUCCAGGGUCCCAGAAACUUACAGAAGAUGGGGUGGGGGGCAAAAAGUGUGAAUUGUAAUUUGAAUGCUACUGUUAGUUUCCUCUGUUUUGUCUGGAAUGAUUUGCUGCAUGCACCAACAAUGCAAAGGAAGACUCGUCUUCAAGGAGGUGAUGACUCGAGUCACGCAGCUGAGCUCCACAAAUCACUCAAAGAUUCAAAGACGGGCUGACAGCUCAGCUCUACGCUUCAAAAACAACAUCAUUUGUUUUAACACCUUGGAAAGAAGCAGAAAAAAAGACAAGACUACAUUAUUGUACAAGGACAUUUUGAUUCAUUUUUGCCACAUAGUACUUAGCUUAUUGUGAAGUCUGAUGGGAAAUGUGAAAAAUUUAGAAGCCGUGACAAGCAAAGACAAUAUAAACUUUUUUACAAUGAAAACUACAGAAUUUUUAAAGCAGAACUGACAUAUUUGGGCCGGUGACAAAUAAGAUUGUAUGUUUUCAAAUGAAAAAUAUAAAAGAAAAUUAAA